RNAcentral lists this ribosomal RNA (434 nucleotides) under uncultured Lachnospiraceae bacterium. RNAcentral describes it as "partial 16S ribosomal RNA". It matches the Rfam family "Bacterial small subunit ribosomal RNA", at positions 341 to 792 of the family's 1533-position model. The record is from RNAcentral. Lineage: Bacteria; Bacillati; Bacillota; Clostridia; Lachnospirales; Lachnospiraceae.
ACGGAAGGCAGCAGUGGGGAAUAUUGCACAAUGGGCGAAGGCCUGAUGCAGCGACGCCGCGUGAGUGAAGAAGUAUCUCGGUAUGUAAAGCUCUAUCAGCAGGGAAGAAAAUGACGGUACCUGACUAAGAAGCCCCGGCUAACUACGUGCCAGCAGCCGCGGUAAUACGUAGGGGGCAAGCGUUAUCCGGAUUUACUGGGUGUAAAGGGAGCGUAGACGGUUUGGCAAGUCUGAAGUGAAAUGCGGGGGCUCAACUCCUGAACUGCUUUGGAAACUGUCGAACUAGAGUGCAGGAGAGGUAAGUGGAAUUCCUAGUGUAGCGGUGAAAUGCGUAGAUAUUAGGAGGAACACCAGUGGCGAAGGCGGCUUACUGGACUGUAACUGACGUUGAGGCUCGAAAGCGUGGGGAGCAAACAGGAUUAGAUACCCUGGUA